UGGGGAAUAUUGGACAAUGGGGGAAACCCUGAUCCAGCAAUGCCGCGUGAGUGAAGAAGGCCUUAGGGUUGUAAAGCUCUUUCGCCCGCGAAGAUAAUGACGGUAGCGGGAGAAGAAGCCCCGGCUAACUCCGUGCCAGCAGCCGCGGUAAUACGGAGGGGGCUAGCGUUGUUCGGAAUUACUGGGCGUAAAGCGUACGUAGGCGGAUGCGCAAGUUGGGGGUGAAAUCCCGGGGCUUAACCUCGGAAUUGCCCUCAAAACUGCACGUCUUGAGACCGAGAGAGGUAAGGGGAAUUCCUAGUGUAGAGGUGAAAUUCGUAGAUAUUAGGAAGAACACCAGUGGCGAAGGCGCCUUACUGGCUCGGUACUGACGCUGAGGUACGAAAGCGUGGGGAGCAAACA
Molecule: ribosomal RNA, 402 nt
Filed under: uncultured bacterium
Lineage: Bacteria
Description: bacterial SSU rRNA
Rfam family: Bacterial small subunit ribosomal RNA
Source: RNAcentral